GUGAACGCUGGCGGUAGGCCUAACACAUGCAAGUCGAACGGCAGCACAGUAAGAGCUUGCUCUUACGGGUGGCGAGUGGCGGACGGGUGAGGAAUACAUCGGAAUCUACUUUUUCGUGGGGGAUAACGUAGGGAAACUUACGCUAAUACCGCAUACGACCUACGGGUGAAAGCAGGGGAUCUUCGGACCUUGCGCGAUUGAAUGAGCCGAUGUCGGAUUAGCUAGUUGGCGGGGUAAAGGCCCACCAAGGCGACGAUCCGUAGCUGGACUGAGAGGAUGAUCAGCCACACUGGAACUGAGACACGGUCCAGACUCCUACGGGAGGCAGCAGUGGGGAAUAUUGGACAAUGGGCGCAAGCCUGAUCCAGCCAUACCGCGUGGGUGAAGAAGGCCUUCGGGUUGUAAAGCCCUUUUGUUGGGAAAGAAAAGCAGCAGGUUAAUACCCCGCUGUUCUGACGGUACCCAAAGAAUAAGCACCGGCUAACUUCGUG
RNAcentral lists this ribosomal RNA (491 nucleotides) under uncultured bacterium. RNAcentral's name for it is "partial 16S ribosomal RNA". It matches the Rfam family "Bacterial small subunit ribosomal RNA", at positions 29 to 507 of the family's 1533-position model. The record is from RNAcentral.